This 406-nucleotide ribosomal RNA is filed under the name uncultured bacterium. Its description in RNAcentral is "partial 16S ribosomal RNA". It matches the Rfam family "Bacterial small subunit ribosomal RNA", at positions 30 to 526 of the family's 1533-position model. The record is from RNAcentral.
AUUGAACGCUGGCGGCAAGCCUAACACAUGCAAGUCGAACGAGUGGCGGACGGGUGAGUAAUGUCUGGGAAACGGCCUGAUGGAGGGGAAUAACUACUGAAAACGGUAGCUAAUACCGCAUACCAUCGGAUGUGCCCCGAUGGGAUUAGCUAGUAGGUGGGGUAAAGGCGCACCUAGGCGACGAUCCCUAGCUGGUCUGAGAGGAUGACCAGCCACACUGGAAAUGAGACACGGUCCAGACUCCUACGGGAGGCAGCAGUGGGGAAUAUUGCACAAUGGGCGCAAGCCUGAUGCAGCCAAGCCGCGUGUACGAAGAAGGCCUUCGGGUUGUAAAGUACUUUCAGCGGGGAGGCGUUACCCGCAGAAGAAGCACCGGCUAACUCCGUGCCAGCAGCCGCGGUAAUAC